CAGAGCCAAUGAAGCAACCAACAUGAUACUGACUUUAUGUUAUCUUGUCGUGUUUUGUCAAGCCCUCUCCAGGGGAUCUAAACCUUCCAUACCAGGAUCUAAGCUAUAGAUUAAGGAGCAUCCACCAUCAGCUGGUAUUAAACCUUUCUCAAGGUUUACUAAGAGUGCAAGCGUGCACAUACACACACAGUACAUGGGAACUCGUUCUGCAGUGAGGAGCAUCCUAGGAGCCUGUACUUCCCUCCUCUACACUUCCAGACAGAAGAUGUAAACACCACUCCUGGCAGAGGCCUCCACGUGACUCUGACUUGCCUGUCUGCUCCAGUAGACAUUAUGAGCUUGAUUCUCCAAGACUGCCACCGAAAUUCCACUCUACUGAUCUUUGCAACCUAAUUCUUCAGGCACUUUUUUUUUUUUUUUGGCAGGAGGAUGUGACCCAAAUUUAUGAAGGAGGGUAAUUUGCUCUAACAGUGCAUCUUGAAUCUAGGAUCUCCGUGUGUUUAUUUGUUAUCAGCACAUAUUUAAAAUACCAGACUUGGAGACCUGAAUUUUGUUGCAACUUGAAAGGCCUUGAAUGUUUUGUAGCAUGAGGGAAAACAGUUAUCAAUCAGAAAACCAAGAUGUAAAAGGUUUUAUGAAGAAAAAAUAUUUCUGAGACAACAAAAGCUGUCCAAAGACUCCUCUUGCACUAGUAAAUACCAGAAGGACACAGCUACUUUUUCAACAACCAAAAAAAAAAAUGCUGGAGCGCUCCUUCAUUAUUUUUCUUUACAUGACAUAUCGCACAUACUGCUGCAGAAAAACAGCUGCUGAAGUGGCCUAGAGGGCAUUUUCAGGCACUGUACUUCAGCGAUUACAGCAAUUUUGUAGGCAUUCGAUAUUAGGAUUACAUUCUAAUUUUAGACAAAGUUAAAUUUAAAUGGAGUAGGAGGGGUUUUCGUGCUACUUUGGAUGUUCUAACAUCACUUACCCCAAACCAAAAACUGUGUAAGGUCUGAAUUUUGCAGCUAUGAUCAUGUAUUAGCUGCAGUACACUUUAAAAGAACGCAACUACAGCUCACUAGUCUCAGUGGGAAGAUGUCCACUGUCACGACGGGAUCCAGACUUAGGCCUUAAAAGCAUUUACCUGCUGGCCACGAUCCCACUGC
This is a non-coding RNA of Anas platyrhynchos (mallard), 1148 nucleotides long. The record is from RefSeq and is a predicted model, not a curated record. NCBI's taxonomy places the organism in Eukaryota, Metazoa, Chordata, Aves, Anseriformes, Anatidae.